Long non-coding RNA from Onychostoma macrolepis, 258 nucleotides. RefSeq lists it as uncharacterized. The record is from RefSeq and is a predicted model, not a curated record. Lineage: Eukaryota; Metazoa; Chordata; Actinopteri; Cypriniformes; Cyprinidae. The transcript has 4 exons.
AUUCUGUAGCCUCAGACAUGUCUACAAGGAAGAAACUGAGGGGGAAAAAAUCACCCAAAGAAUGUAACCAUGGGAUCCUAGAAGGGGAACCUUACUACCCAGUGAAGAGGGUGAUCCGCUGCAAAAAGCAGAAGGGGAUCCAAAUGAAGUUGGUGGAAUGGGAGCCCUGUUCACUCUGUGAGAAAACUUGGCCGCCACAGUGGGUGACGGAGGAGAACACCACGAAUUAAGGAAAUGUUCAAUCCCAUUGUUUUGUUC